Molecule: unclassified non-coding RNA, 22 nt
Filed under: Mus musculus (house mouse)
Lineage: Eukaryota; Metazoa; Chordata; Mammalia; Rodentia; Muridae
Description: oocyte_clustered_small_RNA13603
Source: RNAcentral
GUAUACAAGGAGCUAAAGGGGU